GACGGGGAUGCAAGUGUUAUCCGGAUUUACUGGGCGUAAAGCGUCUGCAGGUGGUUUCUUAAGUCUACUGUUAAAUCUUGAGGCUCAACCUCAAAUCUGCAGUAGAAACUAGGAGACUUGAGUAUUAGUAGGGGUAGAGGGAAUUUCCAGUGGAGCGGUGAAAUGCGUAGAUAUUGGAAAGAACACCGAUGGCGAAGGCACUCUACUGGGCUAUUACUGACACUCAAAGAUGAAAGCUAGGGGAGCAAAUGGG
This 253-nucleotide ribosomal RNA is filed under the name uncultured bacterium. Its description in RNAcentral is "partial 16S ribosomal RNA". It matches the Rfam family "Bacterial small subunit ribosomal RNA", at positions 524 to 776 of the family's 1533-position model. The record is from RNAcentral.